CCUACGGGUGGCUGCAGUGGGAAUAUUGCACAAUGGGCGCAAGCCUGAUGCAGCCAUGCCGCGUGUGUGAAGAAGGCCUUCGGGUUGUAAAGCACUUUCAGCGGGGAGGAAGGCGUUAAGGUUAAUAACCUUGGCGAUUGACGUUACCCGCAGAAGAAGCACCGGCUAACUCCGUGCCAGCAGCCGCGGUAAUACGGAGGGUGCAAGCGUUAAUCGGAAUUACUGGGCGUAAAGCGCACGCAGGCGGUCUGUCAAGUCGGAUGUGAAAUCCCCGGGCUCAACCUGGGAACUGCAUUCGAAACUGGCAGGCUAGAGUCUUGUAGAGGGGGGUAGAAUUCCAGGUGUAGCGGGGAAAUGCGUAGAGAUCUGGAGGAAUACCGGUGGCGAAGGCGGCCCCCUGGACAAAGACUGACGCUCAGGUGCGAAAGCGUGGGGAGCAAACAGGAUUAGAUACCCGAGUAGUC
This 464-nucleotide ribosomal RNA is filed under the name uncultured Klebsiella sp. RNAcentral's name for it is "bacterial SSU rRNA". It matches the Rfam family "Bacterial small subunit ribosomal RNA", at positions 338 to 795 of the family's 1533-position model. The record is from RNAcentral. Lineage: Bacteria; Pseudomonadati; Pseudomonadota; Gammaproteobacteria; Enterobacterales; Enterobacteriaceae.